AUGGACGCGCAUCAAACCGCAAGGUCAGCCGAGCAAGCAAGAGGACAGGCCAGGAAACGAGAAAGAAAGGGAAGGGAACAAGAGAAAAUGGUGGACCAUGGCUUUGCUGUGGCUGAUGGGCCUGCCAGGUCUAUUCUAUGGUGGAGUCAAUUCAUGGCAAGAUUUGGGGGAAAUCUGGCCCGGAUCUUGCUUUCCAUGAGGCGGGAUUUCCUUUGGUCAUCACACUUGUUUUCUCCACCCACCUUUUCCCCACCCCAUAUCUCCCUGGAAUCCUUUCUCAUGUGCUUCCGGUGCAUAUAA
This 300-nucleotide ribosomal RNA is filed under the name Triticum aestivum (bread wheat). Its description in RNAcentral is "partial small subunit ribosomal RNA". Lineage: Eukaryota; Viridiplantae; Streptophyta; Magnoliopsida; Poales; Poaceae. The record is from RNAcentral.